Molecule: long non-coding RNA, 436 nt
Organism: Silurus meridionalis
Lineage: Eukaryota; Metazoa; Chordata; Actinopteri; Siluriformes; Siluridae
Exons: 3
Source: RefSeq, a predicted model, not a curated record
CCUCAAACAAAUCUUUUUCAUGAAUUCAUUUCAAGAAGAAACCUUACUAGAUAAAAGUUUGAUGAAAGAAAACGCAGAAGAGGGCAGGGAGGAGGGCCAUGAGCCAAGACCUCUUUCUGAUCCAGAUGAACCUGGAGGACUGAAGGACGGCGCUACAGACCGUCAUGCAGCGCCCAAUUUACUGCAGGAAUCUGAUCCACAAACACAGCCAUCUCCCAUUUCUCCCUGCCCUCCAUCUCCUGCUAAAGCUGAACAUUUGAAACAACAAUGUUCCUAUCCUACACCACCGGAGGCAGGUCCAUCAUCAGUAGUUGAUUCAUCAUCACAAAAGACGAAGGAAAACGGCAAAAACAACGCAGAGGCAAUGUGGAAGUUUAUCAUUAUUAAUUAUUAUUAUAAUAAUAAUAAUAAUAAUUAUUAUUAUUAUAAUAAUAAU